CUUUAUCUGCUGCUCAGAUCCGAAAUGAUAUAUUUGAGGAUACAGUAUGCCUGGCAAGCCACAUGGCAGCCUGUUCCUACAACCAAGUGGAAAUCCAACCCGCCAAUGUUGGUGACGGUGGUGUCGUUGAUGUU
RNAcentral lists this non-coding RNA (134 nucleotides) under Fragilariopsis kerguelensis. Lineage: Eukaryota; Bacillariophyta; Bacillariophyceae; Bacillariales; Bacillariaceae. The record is from RNAcentral.